This 252-nucleotide ribosomal RNA is filed under the name uncultured bacterium. RNAcentral describes it as "partial 16S ribosomal RNA". It matches the Rfam family "Bacterial small subunit ribosomal RNA", at positions 1252 to 1500 of the family's 1533-position model. The record is from RNAcentral.
AGCAUGCGAGUGUGAGCGAAUCUCAAAAAUAAACGUCUCAGUUCGGAUUGUAGUCUGCAACUCGACUACAUGAAGCUGGAAUCGCUAGUAAUCGCGGAUCAGAAUGCCGCGGUGAAUACGUUCCCGGGUCUUGUACACACCGCCCGUCACACCAUGGGAGUCAGUAACGCCCGAAGCCGGUGACCCAACCUAAACAGGAGGGAGCCGUCGAAGGCGGGACGGAUGACUGGGGUGAAGUCGUAACAAGGUACC